AAUAAUACCCAGGUAGUCCACCCCGUAAACGUUGGGAACUAGUUGUGGGGUCCUUUCCACGGAUUCCGUGACGCAGCUAACGCAUUAAGUUCCCCGCCUGGGGAGUACGGCCGCAAGGCUAAAACUCAAAGGAAUUGACGGGGACCCGCACAAGCGGCGGAGCAUGCGGAUUAAUUCGAUGCAACGCGAAGAACCUUACCAAGGCUUGACAUACACCGGAAACGGCCAGAGAUGGUCGCCCCGCAAGGUCGGUGUACAGGUGGUGCAUGGUUGUCGUCAGCUCGUGUCGUGAGAUGUUGGGUUAAGUCCCGCAACGAGCGCAACCCUCGUUCUAUGUUGCCAGCACGUAAUGGUGGGAACUCAUGGGAUACUGCCGGGGUCAACUCGGAGGAAGGUGGGGAUGACGUCAAAUCAUCAUGCCCCUUAUGUCUUGGGCUUCACGCAUGCUACAAUGGCCGGUACAAAGGGCUGCAAUACCGUGAGGUGGAGCGAAUCCCAAAAGCCGGUCCCAGUUCGGAUUGAGGUCUGCAACUCGACCUCA
Molecule: ribosomal RNA, 541 nt
Filed under: uncultured bacterium
Lineage: Bacteria
Description: bacterial SSU rRNA
Rfam family: Bacterial small subunit ribosomal RNA
Source: RNAcentral